UGGGGAAUAUUGGACAAUGGGGGGAACCCUGAUCCAGCCAUGCCGCGUGUGUGAAGAAGGCCUUAUGGUUGUAAAGCACUCUAAGCGAGGAGGAGGGUACUGGUAUUAAUACUACCAGGUACUGGACGUUACUCGCAGAAUAAGCACCGGCUAACUCUGUGCCAGCAGCCGCGGUAAUACAGAGGGUGCGAGCGUUAAUCGGAUUUACUGGGCGUAAAGCGUGCGUAGGCGGCUAAUUGAGUCGGAUGUGAAAUCCCCGAGCUUAACUUGGGAAUUGCAUUCGAUACUGGUUAGCUAGAGUGUGGGAGAGGAUGGUAGAAUUCCAGGUGUAGCGGUGAAAUGCGUAGAGAUCUGGAGGAAUACCGAUGGCGAAGGCAGCCAUCUGGCCUAACACUGACGCUGAGGUACGAAAGCAUGGGGAGCAAACAGG
This 430-nucleotide ribosomal RNA is filed under the name Pseudomonadota bacterium. RNAcentral describes it as "Proteobacteria bacterium partial 16S ribosomal RNA". It matches the Rfam family "Bacterial small subunit ribosomal RNA", at positions 355 to 776 of the family's 1533-position model. Lineage: Bacteria; Pseudomonadati; Pseudomonadota. The record is from RNAcentral.